This is a non-coding RNA of Pelobates cultripes (western spadefoot toad), 205 nucleotides long. NCBI's taxonomy places the organism in Eukaryota, Metazoa, Chordata, Amphibia, Anura, Pelobatidae. The record is from the annotation of a GenBank genome assembly.
UGGCAGUAGAGGGAGGUGUAUGUGGGAAGUUUAAUCUAAGCAAUUGACUUCAAAUAGAUGAUGAAGGGCAAGCAAUAGCUGAGCUUAAUAGCCAUAUGGUUAAGCUAGCAUAUGUACCUACUCAGGUAUGGAAAGGGUAUAAUCAGAGUAGUUGGUUUGGUAGUUGGUAUGAGCAGUUUGGAGGAAUCAAGGCAUUGGUAGGUGG